Long non-coding RNA from Triticum urartu, 934 nucleotides. RefSeq lists it as uncharacterized. The record is from RefSeq and is a predicted model, not a curated record. NCBI's taxonomy places the organism in Eukaryota, Viridiplantae, Streptophyta, Magnoliopsida, Poales, Poaceae.
CACAGUGCAUGCCCUUCUAACCCUAAUCCCCAUUCUCUCCCCCGUUCCCUCAGCCGCCACAACUGCCCCCACUCCUGAUUCCGGCGAUUCCGGCGGCUAUCGCUGGCACGGUGCACACCGCCGAGCUCUCCUCGGUCGGCUCCAUCCUCCCCUCCGGCAAGAUUUUGCCAUCCCGACCUCUACCGCUCUCCCAAAACCCACACCCAUAUUAGGGUUUCGGCCUCCGGCAUCGCCUUCAUCGUCGGCGCAUCUCCGGCGACUCUUCUCGGUCGUCUAUAGCGCCGCCACGGGCUCACUAUCUUUCUGAUGGUCCACGUCCAGCAGGGCGGCACGGAGGAGCUACUCCCACAGGAUCCAGGGGCGCGGCGCACCCUGCAGACGCCGGUCCCGGGCUAGGGCGGGCACGGCGGCCUUGUCCUUCUGGUCGGCGGUGGCGGCGAAUGCCGGUGCUCUCUCUCCUCCUUGACCUCCAAGGAGGAGCGCCGCCGUCCCCAACAAGCUCUCUUCGCCGGAAGAGGUGGAGCAGCAAGUCCAGUAUCCCCUUGGCCUCCUAUCCUGCAGCGCUUGGACGAGCUCACCGGCUGCGUUCUGCCCUCCCAGCGUGAUGUUGGUUAUGGGAGCAUUUUCAACAACAAUGGCACGUGUUUUGACAACAUUGGCGUCGACGGGUGGAUUUGCUGCUAUAAAUGUUGGAUGACCCCUGGUUGGUGUGUAGCGUCCUGAUAAGAGGUGCCUUGCUUGAUGGUGGCAGUGUUGGCUGUAGAGUAGCAUGGUGUUCUCUGAGACAUGCUUGUAAAAUUAAUGUUUUUUGGGUCUUUUCUUUUUGCUUGUGCAUAGGUGUAUUUUUGGAUAUGUUGUAAUUUUGUUUUUGUAAUGACAUGAGCAUAUACGUAUUGUCAAAUUCUUAUUGGCUUAAAAUUUUCAUGAAAAAUGA